RNAcentral lists this small RNA (1144 nucleotides) under Pongo abelii (Sumatran orangutan). Its description in RNAcentral is "retained intron". The record is from RNAcentral. Lineage: Eukaryota; Metazoa; Chordata; Mammalia; Primates; Hominidae.
AUCAGCUACAGUCUGGAAAUUGCUUCUUUUGAGGAAUUCAUGAAAAGAAUCCUUGAAUGCAGGUUUCUGAUAACUUUGGAGAUUUUGCCAUUGGACUAGAGAGAAAAGUUCCAGGACACUAAUUGAAAAGCUGAUGUGUUCUUAAAGAUUAGUAACCCCAUAUGAAGCAGAGUGGGAGUUGAUUGUGUGGACUGAGCUAAUGGAGGACAGAAAUAAUUUUUUAUGGGUUUUUUUUUUUUUGGCUCUUUGAAACAUUGUUGAUUCUUUUUGUUUUGUUUUUCAGAGUCUGGAGAACACUUUUGAGCUAUUUACAACCUUUAAUAAUUGAGUAGAGUAUACUCUUGUAAAUAGAAUUUGAAGCACAUUUCUCUUUCUGCCUGAUUUCUCUAGAAUUUGUAAACUAUUUGUGAAUAUUCUAAAUUUAUGGCAAUAUGGUUGCUCACAUAAGUUCAAUAAUAAUCUGUUUUCUUUUAUAAUGAGACACAGUUGGAGGAACUGGUUAUUUUCCCAGGGCUUUGACUGAAAUGGCCUUGUGAAUGGUUCCAGGAAAGCCAAUUUUGGAGACCCUAUGUGGAUGAUGAUGCUUGCUGUACUUUCUGUGGGUAAUCGGGCCAAGUAUAUGGGACUGAAGCUAAUUUUGCAGGUGAGGAAAUGGAGGUCCAGAGAGAAAAGUGACUCACCCAAGCUGAAAACAAUUGCAGGAAGAAAAGCUGUUAGGAAUCUUGGAGUACACUAAAGAUGAGGAACUGAGUCACUGCAAUGCCAAAUGUAACAAGCUGUGGGUCAAAAUUUGGAUGUUUGCAUUGGAAAUUAUUCUGAAGCCACAGACAGGGCUAAAAGAGUCUAGAAUGUCCUACUAGCUGUUGGAACGUGCUGGAGUUCUAAAGGCAUGCAAAGUAUUGAAUGUGCUUGACCGAUGGACACAGCAGGUAUUUGAAGAGUUUUGAUGCUUCCUUUCUGUUUUCAGCGCUAUUUUUUUGCUUUAUUUCUUUUAAAAAACUUUCCCCACAGAGGCUAUUUAUUACACAGCAGCAGCCAGCAUGCACCAAGCAGAAUUGCUUUUCAUAAUAAACCUAUUCAUCUUCUGGUAUGUCAGAAAUUUCUCAAAUUGAUACUUAUAAUAAAUAUGAUUAAUAACACAUUG